Molecule: ribosomal RNA, 495 nt
Filed under: uncultured bacterium
Lineage: Bacteria
Description: partial 16S ribosomal RNA
Rfam family: Bacterial small subunit ribosomal RNA
Source: RNAcentral
GACGAACGCUGGCGGCGUGCCUAAUACAUGCAAGUAGAACGCUGAAGGAGGAGCUUGCUUCUCUGGAUGAGUUGCGAACGGGUGAGUAACGCGUAGGUAACCUGCCUGGUAGCGGGGGAUAACUAUUGGAAACGAUAGCUAAUACCGCAUAAGAGUAGAUGUCGCAUGACAUUUGCUUAAAAGGUGCAAUUGCAUCACUACCAGAUGGACCUGCGUUGUAUUAGCUAGUUGGUGAGGUAACGGCUCACCAAGGCAACGAUACAUAGCCGACCUGAGAGGGUGAUCGGCCACACUGGGACUGAGACACGGCCCAGACUCCUACGGGAGGCAGCAGUAGGGAAUCUUCGGCAAUGGUCGGAAGUCUGACCGAGCAACGCCGCGUGAGUGAAGAAGGUUUUCGGAUCGUAAAGCUCUGUUGUAAGAGAAGAACGAGUGUGAGAGUGGAAAGUCCACACUGUGACGGUAUCUUACCAGAAAGGGACGGCUAACUACGUG